This 309-nucleotide RNase P RNA is filed under the name bacterium. RNAcentral describes it as "partial RNase P RNA component class A". It matches the Rfam family "Bacterial RNase P class A", at positions 1 to 313 of the family's 367-position model. From Rfam's summary of the family: Ribonuclease P (RNase P) is a ubiquitous endoribonuclease, found in archaea, bacteria and eukarya as well as chloroplasts and mitochondria. Its best characterised activity is the generation of mature 5'-ends of tRNAs by cleaving the 5'-leader elements of precursor-tRNAs. The record is from RNAcentral.
UUUGUGUACAGGGUAGUCGCGCCUACGAUACGAGAGUGUCAUAGGGGAGGAAAGUCUGGACUCCGAACAAGAAGGAUGCCACACAAGGCGCAGCCGCGCACAAGUGUGGGGAGCCGAGAGGUUUACGGAAAGUGCCACAGAAACUAAACCGCCAAGAUUUUAUUAUGUUGGUAAGGGUGAAAACGUGCGGUAAGAGCGCACGCGUUGUGUCAGUAAUGCGCAGCGGGGCAAACCCCAUCCGGAGCAAGGCAAAAUAGGUUCUGAGAGUUCUUGUUCUCUUUGACGAACGGGUAUGUCGCAUAGAUAAAU